ACGCUCGACACCUACGUGAGGCAGCAGUGGGGAAUAUUGCACAAUGGGGGAAACCCUGAUGCAGCGACGCCGCGUGGAGGAAGAAGGUCUUCGGAUUGUAAACUCCUGUUGUUGGGGAAAAAGAGGAUGGUACCCAACAAGGAAGUGACGGCUAACUACGUACCAGCAGCCGCGGUAAUCUGAGCGGGCUGGCAAGGC
This 198-nucleotide ribosomal RNA is filed under the name uncultured bacterium. RNAcentral's name for it is "partial 16S ribosomal RNA". It matches the Rfam family "Bacterial small subunit ribosomal RNA", at positions 328 to 539 of the family's 1533-position model. The record is from RNAcentral.